Symphalangus syndactylus (siamang) is the source of this 4596-nucleotide long non-coding RNA. RefSeq lists it as uncharacterized. Lineage: Eukaryota; Metazoa; Chordata; Mammalia; Primates; Hylobatidae. The record is from RefSeq and is a predicted model, not a curated record.
UCGUGCGCAGAGAGCGCAGCGCUGCCGCGAGGAUCUCUGGGAACUGUAGGCCCAGUUUGUCCGAGCGCCGCAAGUGUUUCAGGACGAAGCAACGCAGGGGCACCUGGGAGUCGUAGGCGGAUGGGCCCAAAGCCUUCCGGGAGUCGUAGUCCUUCCGCCCGCUCCCCGUUUCCUUGGAGGUUGGCCCUUCCAGCUCCAGUUCUGCCCAGGUCACAACGCCGACGACAUGGUGGAGACCGUGCUCAUGAACUUCCUGCGGGGCGGCUGGCCCGGGGCGGGGGCCUGGGCUCUCCGGGCUAGGGGGGCGCCCUGCAGCUCCCCUCCUUCUUGGCAUCUCUGUUGCUCAGUGAAGGUCCCCAAGGGGGUGGAAUCAGCCUACGGUUCUUGGUGUCUCCUCUGCAGCUUUUGACCUGGUCUAUUUGUGGAAAUAGGAGGAUCAUGGAAAUGGAAAUGUUGACCUCUUCCACAAACCAAAAGACAUACGCUCUUCUAGAGUAAGCACAAAAAUUUCAAGAUGAGAGAAGAUCAAAGCAUGAGGAUACAGAGGCAGUUUGUCCUGUACCACAUCUUCAAAUCUCAGACCUGCAGCUUCUAUCCUGCAUAUUUCUCCAAGCUGUACCCCAAAAUGAUGACCAAGGACCUUCUGUGAAGUCACAUUUCCUGCAAUCCUCUUGCCCCUGCACACGCACAGCAGGGGCAACAGCAGCAUCUUGGGUUUGGAGGGGGGUGAGUCUGGGACUCCUGACAUCGCCUGAUGAGUCUCUUCUAUCUGGAGAUCAAGGCAGCUACAGAAAGAGGACAGCUAGAGACUUUUCCUGGAUUGGGCUGCUCCAAGUUCCUCUCUCUGUUAGGAGUCCUCUGCCCUCAAACAACUACCAGAGAAGUGAAAGCUGACCUCCUUUCACCCCAGGCCUACUGAUAACCUGUUCAGUGCCCCCUGCCAUCUCAUUCCUCACUCAGAUGUUGCCUCCUCCAGGCAUCCAUUCCUACCUCUCCUCAGAAAAUGAAUGGGGCAUGCCCCACCUCUUCUCUGUUCACUUGGAACUCGGAGAUCUCUCUCAGAACAGAAGAGUCUAGGAGCCCUGAAACUGAAUCUUCUGCCCCUCCACCCGGUCCUGAUCACACAAGAAGUCACAAGAAGGUGGAACUGAAACUCACCUGCAAGGGGGGCCCUUCAUGGUCAGAGACUGUGACUCAGAACUGAGGCCCUGGCUCCAGCUUCACACUCGACUGUGACGUUUGUGGUUUUUCUGGUGUCAAUCUGAGUUCAGAAAGUCACUGAAUUUUUGUAUGUCUCCUCGCUUAUUCUCAGGUUUCUGAUAAGCCCUUCACUCACACCUUCAGUGUGAGUUUUGACUUCUUAACAGUUCCUCCAGUCCUAUGGGCCUCCCAUCUUCACAGUAUUUAUCAGAUCUCUCCCUCCUUAACCCACAUCCAUUUUACCCUGACAUUGCCUUGCCUCUUCUGCCCUUCAUGACAACUCUCUCCAUCCUGUGGUCCACUGACGCCCCAGGAUCCUUUUCCCAGUAUAAACACUUACCAUUCAUGUAUAAUGAAGGAAAACUUAGAACUUGUUUCUGUGACCCCUCAGCUCCAAAUAUAACUUCACAACCAGCCUUCUGAUAGAUACUUCAUUCCUUCAUUUGAGCUGAUUCAGGAUUUGGUACAGAGUCAGGUGCAGAAAAGGAUCACAUAUCAUGUUCUGUUGUUCAGAACACCAUGACAGGACAAAUAAGGGAUUCAAAGCAAGAGCAAAUUAUCAACUCACUGGAAAAGGAAGGGAGGAAGAGAUGGAACCUGCCACAUAGAAGGUUUCCUGGAAGGAGUGAGGGCAGAGUCAGCCCAGAGAGGCAAGGAUCCCAAUGGCCUGUGAGAAAUGCACCAUCUCUCUAAAGUUAAGUCUUCUCUUCCCUAAAAUGAGGGCGACUUCAGAAGAAGACUGAGGAGGAGUUUGGAUGUCCUCUGACCAGCGCAUCUGUCCUGCAGCACAGAAUGUAACCAACCCUACUUUCCAACCUUCUUACCUCUGCAUUUGAGACAGGCCAGAGUUCUGCCCCCAGGGGGCGCUCCAUCCGCCAUGCCCGAUUUGGGGAACAACUAGCCCAGGGUUUGGCGCUGUCCAUGGUUCUGCACCAUAACCGUGCUCUGAGUUCAGGAAACUCUCAACUCUGCCAUGGACACAAAUUUCCAAGCACACGAUUCUGAGCUGUAGGCCAGCGGGGCACCUAAGUCAGAGAGGCUUCGAAAAGGCUGGGUCCCUUUUGGGAAGGAGAGGCCAGGGAAAGAGACAUAUCGCUGUGCUUUUCCUCUCACUCCUCUUGUUGAGCUAAGGAUCAUUCUUUUGAAUUGUAGUACCGGCCUGGCUAAGGGACAGGGAAGAACAAGGUAUUUUUCUGAGGUUCCAGAUUAUGCUGAUGUUGCCGGCUCUUGGACCACGCUUUAAGUAUAGCAAGUCCGUGCCUGGAUCUCCUCUCGGAUAAGGGUUUAGGAAAGAGAUGGACAUUCACUGAAGCUCCCCAAGUUCCAGACUCAGGGCUGGGCUUUUCCAUCUAUGCCUCAUUUAAUCUUCAUAACCAACCUAAGAGAGGUUUGGUUAAUAAUUCUCAUUUGACGAAGUGGGAAACAGACACUGGAUGUAUAAGCGAUUUCAUGGGGUCUCACAUUAUUGGUUCAUAUAUAUAUGUGUAUGUGUCUGUAUAUAUAUGUAUAUAUAUUUUUUUUUUUUUUUGAGACAAAGUCUCACUCUGUCGCCCAUGCUGGACUGCAGUGUCAUGAUCUCAGCUCACUGCAGUCUCAACCUCCAGGGCACAAGUGAUCCUCCCAUCUCAGCCUCCCGAGUAGCUGGGGCCACAGUCACCUGCCACCAUGCCCAACUCAUUUUUGUUUAUUUUUUGUAGAGAUGGGAUCUUACUAUGUUGCCCAGGCUCUUCUUGAACUCCUGGGCUCAAGCGAUCAACCCAUCUCAGCCUUCCAAGUAGCUAGGACCACAGGCAUGUGCCUCCAUGCCCACUAACAUUUUCUUUUCUUUUUGUAGAGACAGGGUCUCAGUACAUUGCCAGGCUCGUUCCAGACACCUGGGCUCAAGUGAUCCUCCCGCCUCACUCUCCCAAAGUGCUGGGAUUACAGGCAUGAGCCACUGAGCCUGGCGAUAUUUUCCAUUGUGAUGUUGUUAAAUCUAUCAAGAUUUUUGGUAAGAAGGAUGAGUUUUUAUUAACUUUUUGUCAUAUUCUCCUUAAAGAAAAUUAUUUUUUCUUCAAAAAAUUUAUGAAAAGAUGACUAUCAGAAGAUCAGACAUUUCCUAGCUUGCAAUAUUUUUCCAUGUUUGUGUUAUCAAAAAUGUACUUACCAUUCACGUUGUGUAAUCAUCUGUUAUGCUGAGAAAUAGAACAUGCGGGCACCCCGGGAAUCUUAGAACCCCUCUUUGUUUCCCACCUUCCCUGACCUUCUUUAUGAGUGCCACCUUGCUGAUAUUUGGGAUAUUUUUUUCCCUCCCUUUGCCCAUAAGCAUAAUACCUGUAUAUAUAUUCUUAAGCAAGAAUAAUUGCUUUAAACGUUCACACAAGUGGAACAAUGUGAUAAUGUGUAUUUUGUAUGGCCAAAUAGGACUGCACCAGCUUUCCUUUUAUUAAUGUCGGCAUAAUAUACUUUCACUUUUGGCCUUCUCUAUCCUUGUACUUUACGUGUAUAUGUUGUAAAGAUCAUAUACUUGGAAUCCAUCCAAGUGGACUCUGUUUUUAACUGAAGCAUUUAUCCAAUUAUAUUUAACAUAAAUAUCCCAUGUUACAUUUUGUUUUCUGUAUGUGUCACCAAUUCUACAUUACUUUAUUUCUCCUUUUUUUUGUUUUUUUGUUUUUUGUAUUUUUUUGUUUACUAAGUUUUUUUGUUGUUGUUUGGCUUUUUGUUUGUUUGUUUUUUGAGACAAGGUCUCACUCUAUCACUUGGCUCACUGCAGUCUCCACCUUCCGGGCUCAGGUGAUCCUCCUGUCUCAGCCUACCAAGUAGCUGGGACUACAGGCAUAUGCUACCAUGCCUGGCUAAAUUUUUUGUAUUUUUUUGUAAAGCUGUGUUUUGCCAUGUUGCCCAGGCUAUUCUUGAACUCCUGGGCUCAAGUGAUUCUCCACCCCUUGGCCUCUCAAAGUGCUAGCAUUACAGGUGUGAGCCACUGCGCCUGGCUGGUUUACUAAGUUUUUAAUAGUAUGCCUUUAAUGGUCACUAGGUUGAAAGUUAUAUAUUAUGAUUCUGUUCUUUUAGCCAUCAUGAGAAAAAUUUACAGCAUGCAUUAUUAACCUAUCAAAGUCUUUAGUAAAUGAAAACCUCUCUCUCCUCCUGGAUAAUAUAUGGAUAUUAGGACAUGUAAAAUACACUUACCUUGGUACUUAGCCAUUGUGAUUGUCAGGAAUUCUAAACUAUCUUUUGCUUUUAUUAAAGCUCCCCCAUUUACUUGCUCUGAAAGAUCAUUAUUGCUUUCUCUUUUUGAGUUGACUUUACUGAGUAUAGAUUACAAAUUGAUGUUAGAAAUAGUAUUUGACUUCUUCUACUCUCCAGAGUUGCUACUGAUAAUUCAGUUGUCAAUUAAAUGACUUUUCUUUUGAAGGC